Long non-coding RNA from Cyprinus carpio carpio, 923 nucleotides. The record is from Ensembl. Lineage: Eukaryota; Metazoa; Chordata; Actinopteri; Cypriniformes; Cyprinidae.
AAAUGGAUAUAUGGCAUACGUAAGGAGUGCAGCUUUCUGGAAUUCAAUACAGUAACUUUCAUCCAAACUGUUGCCAUAGUUUACAGCAGGUAAUACUAACAGAGUGCACUGUAAUAUUGACAACAUGACUAAGCAUUUUGACUAUCUUGUUUGUGAUCUAUGACUCAAGGGCUUUUCAUUCUGAUGGCACUGAUAUGUUGACUGACAUAAAAACGUUGGGUUGUUUUUUUAACCCAACCGUUGGGUUACACAUAUUGGGUCAUUGUGUUGGGUUAUCUUAAAAUUUGUUGGGUCAUUUAUUUUCGGCGUUGGGUUAUUUUUAGUUAUAACCCAACUGUUGGGUUAAAUAUGGUUCCCGCUUCACUCCGGUUCAAAUUUUAACGGUCCAGUCAGCGACUCAGUGGACAUCAGCGGCAGCCUGCCUGAUUAUGAAAGAUAAAUGGAUUUCUUUGUAAAGAAAAGAUUAUUUUACCAAUCCUUGCUAAGUUUCUGGACGUUGAUGGUGUAAGGACCCUUGCUGUCUAUGGGAGGGUCAGAGAGCUGUCAGAAUGCAUCAAAAAUAUCUUAACUUGUGUUCCAAAGAUGAACGGAGGUCUUACGGGUUUAGAACGACAUGAGGAUCUAAAGAAGAACAAGUGUGACAGGCUAUGUCUAUGGCUACAUUAACAUCAACAGCUCAAAUUAAAUUUUUACCCAGCAGAUUUCUCACUGGAAUGUAAUAAAUCUCAGUUUGAAUGCUGCAGGUAUGAAUCAUCUUCAUCUUGGAGGUCAGAGUAAAGGUCUCUGAGGAUAUUAAUGCUCUUUCUCGUAUCUUGACAUCCAUUUAUUUAAUCGGAUGGACAGACAGACCUGAGCACUGUAAAUAUAUUUGACACUCUUGUGCCCUUUUUCAAACCCAUCCUAAAGAGUCAAUGUAUUGCAAG